GAUGUGAACAUGAAAACCGCAGAUACGAUGGGCAUAAGGAGGGCGGCGUACAAGGAUCUCCUUAAUACGUUUGCGGUUUUUCGUAGCACAUCAAACGAAAACUGUAGUUACGUCCUUGGAAGUGAAGAAAUGAUCGUGGCGCUACUAUGCGAUCUUCGAAGUUCUUGCGUCUCACCGCAACACGUAACCAUUAUCAAUUUGAUUUAUGACUAUGCGCAAAAUGAGAAGAUAACAAGUGUGGCCCAUAACAAGCCAAGCAGCAAUUUAUCGAGCAGAGCAGCGUUGUGCGAGCUGCUGAUUAACCAGAUUGCCUACUUUAACACCUUGGAGCCAGCAGAAAGGGCCUUGUGCUUUUUUUUUCGGCUUUCUACGUGCCAAACUGCGAAAACAAGUGAAAGCUACAAUUCCGCAUCUGACAGAAACCGGGCUUAUUUAUGGUUUCGUUUUGGAAACCAAAGAACGCUACCUGAAGAAACAAUCUCUACGAUUCCACGACAUAAGAGAGACCGAUCUUGUGAUACGCCGACAGGGGGCAGAAGAAAUUACGGAAGUAUUAUCCUUUUAUAAAGCAAGCGCCAGCAAAUAUGACGCCGAGAGCUCAAGCCUAACCGCCGGCGACAAAGCUGUCAAGUACGACCAGAAGUUCUAUCCGUUCCAGAAAUCAUCGACUUCGGCAUCUGCAGUUUCGGGGGCUUCUGUUCCCCCCAUUCGUAUCGUUAUGCCCCAGGGGCGCCGAGAUGUACCGUUCGCCGACUUACUGUUCGAAGAGAUGCUGGAAAUCUUUGUAGAACGAUUCGUAUCCGUGAAUCCAGUUCGUGAUCCGGAAACGGCUGCUUUAAUCGGUACCGAUAUAAUGCAAAACACAAAGUUGAGGAUCUUUUGGCUUCAUUCUGUAUCACCAAGGAAAUUUGCGACGAUUUCUUAGCUCCUAACUUUGUUUCUUCGGAGUGUAUUGAUCUCGCGCAUUUUAUUGCCAGGAAGUUUUUUGUAUCGUUCGGUGGAAGCACAUAUUUUGGGCAAUCGUUUAACGAUUUUAUGUCAAACAUUUUCAAUAUCGGCGCAAAGGCUUCGCAAAUUUGUAUUUUGGAGAACAUUCAACUGUGUUAAUGAGGCACGGGGAUCGGCUGAUGUACGUGGAUCCGGCUGGCAAAGCAACGUUGGAUAACCCUGCUCUGAUGCGAGUCAUCAGCGGAUUCUUAUUCGGGGUGAAUUCCACUUUCAGAUACAGAGAAUACGGCAUUUGCCGGAUCGCCGAGAGCCCGAACGGGUGGUUCAGUUCAGGAUUCUGACUGUAUUUACCGAUGACGCAAAAAGUUUACGUCCUUUGGCGACAUAUCCGUUAUACGCUGAAUGGAAUACCUUGUUUCACUGGUGCAUGCAACAAUACCCUACGACCAUGUAUGUGGGUUUAUUUUUGGGCAUCCGUUCCAAUAUUCCGGUAUUUGCGGGACAAGGAUUACGCGAUUGUUAAUUUGGCGGGGUACGAGUUUAUCAUAAAGCAGAAGGAUUUCGCUGAGCACUUGGCGUUUAAACUCGAGUUCCGGAUGCUCCACGACAUCGCUGCGAUAUCGCCGAUCUAGUAGUGGACCUGGGCGCCCAGCCGCUAUCGGAUAGGGACGUUUUCGGCAGCGCUGUAAAGCGUGUGUUCGCCAAAGAUGGCAACCAGGUGACCGACACCGAACAGGAAAUCAGUAUUUCCGAUAACCAGGGCCUUGGCACUGAGAAUUCGAAAGAGGUGAUACAAAGUGAUUUAACUAAGCAGCUGACCGAACCCUACUGCGCUGAGAAGCUGGAAGAGGAAGUGGAUGACACUACGCGUAGGCAAACCGCAAAAGGCUCGUAAGCGUGCCGGUGUGGCCAAGGCGAAGUCAAAGAGCGCAGUUUGAAAGGGAAUUGCGAAAAACGUUAUCUCGGCACAACAGCAGUCGUCAGCAGCCAGAGUGAAAACCAGUGUGGAACCUGCAACACAAGAAAUCAUGUUGGCAGGAAUGAUGGAACGUUGGAUAGAUAACCUAAGCUCAUAUACAUUAUCUAUAUUUGAAUAAUCGAUUUUCUUAAAUGUAGAUAAUCUAUUUCGCACACUAUUUAGCAGAAACGUUUUUCCAGGAAACCAUUGUGGAACCUGUAACACAAGAAAUCAUGUCUCGAUCAAUAGCUAUAUUAAAACUUCGUUUUAAUAUAGCUAUUGAUCAUGACUCUGUUAAGAUCAUUAUUGCGCUUUUGUAAAUUAUUCGUAACUAAGUUCCUGUGUAUGUUUUCCGCCUGUCGUCAGUUCACAAAAACAGAAUUAGCACAGCUAAUUCCGGUUACAACACAGCAGGGAUGAUUGUUAGGCAGGACGACUUAAAGUGCCGUUAGGGUGUGUCUUUUGUGCAAGUAGAUGUACCUACCGAAGCUGGAGAAGCAAACCGUCAUCCACUGUGAAUGUGGCAUGUGUAGCGAUUGUGUGUUUCUGUUCAUUGAAUUUCAGUUACUGUUAUGUUGAAGCAAAGUCUACUUCAAUAUAAAGUAAAGUUUAUGCUUACUUCAACUUAACAGCAUCUGAUGGUUUACAUAGUAUAACAAGUCGAUCUUAUCUUCCGCCUACUCUCUUGGAUGAGGCGUUGGGGGAUCCUUUAGCAAGGACGGCGGCCUGGUUGCGCCGGUGACCCAUGUUCCGGUGCCAGUGUCUUCCAUGAACCGGUGCCAAAGAGAAACCAAUCGUUACGCGUAACUGUUGUUGCUGCCGCAGACUGUGGCAACAACAAUAGUACAGUUUAAAAAGUUUAUAUGGGUUUUGGAAAAAACAUGCAAUAGCAAGUAUUUAAAGAAAUUUUGAAGUUAAAACCGUCCAAACGGGUAAAAUCAUACAAACCGUGAUACCUACAAACAUUUAGAAACAAUAAAAGUCCAAAAACUUAAAACCCGCUCUCAUUGUCAGAACUCAGAAACAAAGUUACGGCGAGCCGAGGUCUCACUGUCAUCAGAUCAUUUUAAUAACUUCCGAAUAUGUACCUAAUGAUAAUACUGCUUCCUGAAUAAUUAUUGUUAAAACUGUACUAUAUUGGUUAAGACCUGUAAAACCUUACAACCCCUACAAGAAAGAAUCACCGUAAAAACUUUAUAUUUAGAAAUAAAACUGUCAACGCCUUAAAACCGGCUUCAGAAGAACACAAUCAAAACCAAAAAUCAUUAAAAACCGCUAAAACCUUAAAACCGCUUUCUGAGGAAUCACUGAUAAAACUGUAAUUCAGUGAUAAAAAUGCUAAAACCUUAAAACCGCUUUCCGAAAGCUCACUACCAAAACUAAAUAUUAGUAAAAACUGCUAAAACCUUAAAACCGCUUUUUGAAAGUUUCUGCUUAAACUGUAUAAUAGUAAUAAAACCACUAAAACCUUAAAACCGUUUUCUGAGAAAUCAGUGCUAAAACUGUAUAAUAGUAAUAAAACCAAUAAAACCCUAAACCCUUUUUCUGAGAAAUCACUGAUAAACUGUAAUUGGGUAAUAAGACUGCUAAAACCUUAAAACCGCUUUCCGAAAAAUCACUAUCAGAACUAUAUAUUACUAAAAACCGUUAAAACCUUAAAACCGCUUUUUGAGAAAUCAUUGUCGAACCGAUGUACUUAUUAUCUUAUUAUUUAAAACGUUUGGUUUUAUUAGUUUUAAUAGUUUAAAAAUUAGAUUUGGACCACUUUGUACCUACCCUCCCCACAAUGUUGUCUUACGCCAGCGGGA
This is a long non-coding RNA of Paramacrobiotus metropolitanus, 3714 nucleotides long. RefSeq lists it as uncharacterized. The transcript is spliced from 9 exons. NCBI's taxonomy places the organism in Eukaryota, Metazoa, Tardigrada, Eutardigrada, Parachela, Macrobiotidae. The record is from RefSeq and is a predicted model, not a curated record.